AUUGUAAUAAGUGAGACAUGCUAACAUCAACAUAAAUAAUUUAAUAUUUGCCAUUUGCUAUUUUAUAUUUUGAAUAAUCGCGUAAAUAGAUGCGAUAUAUUUAUGCACAGUUAUUGUUACAUACAAAUUUACUAUAUACAUAUAUAUUAUACAUACGUUUUUAUGUAUAUAAAAAAGUACUUAUGGAAAAUUAAGGAAAUUUUUAGCCUGUGAGGCAUUAGAUAAUGGACUACAACCCAAUUUGAUACCGCAGACGACCGAAGGUAGUGCCGUUGCGCCUGGAAAAUAUCCCUACAUGGCACUCAUUGGUCAUCAAGAGGAAAACGAGAAUAUCACAUUUCCAUAUAGUGGCGCCUUAAUUGAUAAACGUUUCGUGCUAACCGCUGCUCAUUGUAUAACAGACGUCGAACCUGUGAUUGUGCGACUGGGUAUUACAAACCUUGACAAUGUGGAACAUAGUAGUGGCAUGGUAGAGAAGAAAAUCAAAUAUUUAAAGUAAAAUUGUUAAGGCCAUUCAUGUGCAUCCCAACUAUACACGAGCUUCUGCUUACAAAGAUAUCGGUUUGGUAGAAUUGUAUAGUGACGUUAAUUAUUCCUCUUUCGUGUAUACCGUUUGCUUAUUUACCGCGGCAGCAAUUCCGUUAAACAAUACUGAGCUGUAUGCCACGCGUUGGGGUGUCAAUGGUCAACUAAUUGUGGGUGCAGUACGCGUACGGAUACUUCCGAUACCAUUGUGUCAAGAUGCUUAUAGUAAAUAUGUUAACCGGUUUAUUGCAGAUGGUAUUCGGACAACGCAAUUGUGUGCACAAGAUGUUAAUCAAUCGGGAGAUGAGUGUAUUAGUGCUAGUGGACCUAUGGUCAUAGUGGAAGCUGCAAGAUUAAAUAAAUACCGACUCGUCGGCAUAGAUUCCUUUGUUAUACGCUGUCAAUCCCAAGUGCCGACCGUGCUUACUAGAGUAUCCGAGUAUUAAGAUUUCAUUGAGAGUGUAGUUUGGGCGUCCUAAGGAAAAUAAGAUCAAACGUAAAUAUGUACCAAGUUUGCAUUUCUUAAGGAAUUUAG
Molecule: non-coding RNA, 1060 nt
Organism: Bactrocera oleae (olive fruit fly)
Lineage: Eukaryota; Metazoa; Arthropoda; Insecta; Diptera; Tephritidae
Source: RefSeq, a predicted model, not a curated record